AAGUCGUAACAAGGUUUCCGUAGGUGAACCUGCGGAAGGAUCAUUAACAAAACAAAAUAACAUGGGUGAAUGGGCAGUAAAAUGCUCGGUAACUCUGUUUAUUCAACUUGUGAACCGUCUUUUGAACUGGCUUUGAGUAGUGUAGUUUACUACACACGCCCAUUGCCAGAGUAUAACACACCAACCUUUGUAAUUGCAAUUAAAGCAUUUCAAAUUUUAUAUAAUCACUAUAUAACUUUUAACAAUGGAUCUCUAGGCUCUU
RNAcentral lists this unclassified non-coding RNA (262 nucleotides) under fungal sp. RNAcentral's name for it is "partial internal transcribed spacer region". The stretch from base 1 to 46 matches the Rfam family "Eukaryotic small subunit ribosomal RNA", at positions 1786 to 1831 of the family's 1831-position model. The record is from RNAcentral. Lineage: Eukaryota; Fungi.